RNAcentral lists this transfer-messenger RNA (367 nucleotides) under Clostridiaceae bacterium. It matches the Rfam family "transfer-messenger RNA". Rfam says of the family: Bacterial tmRNA, also known as 10Sa RNA or SsrA, is named for its dual tRNA and mRNA-like properties. Its role is to liberate the mRNA from a stalled ribosome. Lineage: Bacteria; Bacillati; Bacillota; Clostridia; Eubacteriales; Clostridiaceae. The record is from RNAcentral.
GGGGGUGUUUUGGAUUCGACGGUGAGAUGGAUCGGACGUGUAAGCAUACCGCAGGCUCGGCUGCGUUAAAAACGGGAAAAAAAAUUAAAUGCAGAUAAAUCUGAAAGAGCUUCCUUCGGGAAACUCGCCCUUGCAGCUUAAUUAAUUAGUUGCUCGUCGACCUUGUGUUACCGUUCCGCAAGUAAUCGGCGUCAUACAGAAUGGCCACUCUUGCGAAAUCGCCCGGUAUUGCAAGAAAAUUACGGGCUUGUUGAACGGCAGGAUUGUCCGUGUUCCCGCCUAAGAGACCUCUAAACAUCGACUAAGUAUGUAGAAAGCCGCCUAGUUUGCUUAUCGGACCGGGGUUCAAACCCCCGCACCUCCACCA